CUCCUCGAGGAGUACGACCAGUUGCGUCGCCGACCAGAGGACCAUUGGAGCCCGGACGGCUUGCAGAACGACCAGGACCUGAGCAGAGGCGAGAGCGUCUCCGAGGACGAAGGGGACAGCCAAGGAGACAUGAACUCGAGCAGUUUCCAGCACCAACAACAGAUGGCUCUGGCGGCGCGGGCGGUGCUCGGCUCGCUGACGUCGCCCUCGCUCGCGCCCGCCAUGCUGCCCUUCCCCCCCGUCACGCCAGAAAAGCAGCUCCUGAACAGCGGCUC
RNAcentral lists this long non-coding RNA (275 nucleotides) under Penaeus japonicus. RNAcentral's name for it is "uncharacterized LOC122265997". The record is from RNAcentral. Lineage: Eukaryota; Metazoa; Arthropoda; Malacostraca; Decapoda; Penaeidae.